Molecule: ribosomal RNA, 253 nt
Filed under: uncultured bacterium
Lineage: Bacteria
Description: partial 16S ribosomal RNA
Rfam family: Bacterial small subunit ribosomal RNA
Source: RNAcentral
UACGAAGGGGGCUAGCGUUGUUCGGAAUCACUGGGCGUAAAGCGCACGUAGGCGGCCUCUUAAGUCGGUGGUGAAAUCCUGGAGCUCAACUCCAGAACUGCCUUCGAUACUGGGAGUCUCGAGUUCGGGAGAGGUGAGUGGAACUGCGAGUGUAGAGGUGAAAUUCGUAGAUAUUCGCAAGAACACCAGUGGCGAAGGCGGCUCACUGGCCCGAUACUGACGCUGAGGUGCGAAAGCGUGGGGAGCAAACAGG